This 1191-nucleotide long non-coding RNA is filed under the name Elaeis guineensis (African oil palm). RNAcentral's name for it is "long non-coding RNA (EGUI_LNC005393)". Lineage: Eukaryota; Viridiplantae; Streptophyta; Magnoliopsida; Arecales; Arecaceae. The record is from RNAcentral.
CCCCAAAAAAAGAAAAGAAAAAAGAAAUCCUUGGUCAUGCAUCCUCCAUUUCAUCAUUGGAUGGCAAGAAAUAGAAUAAAAGAUCCUAACUGAGUUUAUGAACAUCAACUGCACUGCCAUCUUAAUUGCCUGAGAUCAUCUGUGCACGUGUUUGUUAAAUGCUAACAUUCUCCUAUAUGAUCAUCAAAUGCCAAUAUUCCUGAUCAACAUUUAGCUAAAAUGUCUCUAUUCUGCGAAAGGAUUUAUUGAAUUCUGAUUGAUUUCUCAAUUAACAGACUAACAGAGCUUUCCUUUCUGCUCCGUCACAUAAUAGUGCAGGUACUCGAACGAACUGCACAUCAUACAGUAGAGUAAAUUAUAAUUGUAUCCUAUGAGGAAACUCAAAUAUUUUCAGAUGUAAGAAGCUUGUUCGAAGACAAUACAUACUAAUACUGGACCACUUUCCCAGUUUCCCUGCACCAUAGCAUUUAAACUUGCCGCCAAUUCUGCUGGUAAAUGUCUCUUCCGGCCAUGAUCUUUUCUCACGUGCUCUACAUGUUUCACUUUGGAUCUCUGUUAUUAAGAAGUGCUAGUUAUCUUCUUUUUUAGGAGGUGAUAAUAUUUUAACUGCAUGCAGAUAAUUCCUGCCUAUGACAUUGAUUUAAGGUUAUGCUCGUUGAGCACAUGGUCAUGUCCAAAGCUUAUAUAUUUCAGGUUACGCUCAGGCAAAUUGUAGUUACUGCAUGACUUGAAUACCAUAGUUAUGCUGAACAUUGAAGUUAUCUUGUUGUUUCUUGCACGUAUAUUUAAAGCAGAAUGAAUAAAAUAAGUUUAUGAGGCCUAUACAUCAACUCUCUGCUCCACUGGUUUUUAAACCCUCCAUAACCCAAAUAUGUACAUGUUCUAUCCAUGCAUUCCUUCUGUUUUGCUUUUCUUGAUGUUAUUUGUCAGAUAUAAAAUGCUCAUGUCUAGCAUAUAUUGGGAAUUCAUUUUGAAAAAGUCAUGCAAACCUUUGCAGUAUUAACAGUUCUAAGACACUAAAAUGUUUACAUAUUGAUUGUCAACUGAGAUUUUGUAGGUUGGUCUUUUGAAGACUUUAUUAACUGUCCGGUUGAAGAAUAACAGAUCCACCAUCGAAAGAGGAUGAAAAAAGAAAGGGAGUCACAUAUAUGUCAGGAUCAAUGGGGAAACAGCACGGAUUGUCACAACAAG